Molecule: non-coding RNA, 73 nt
Organism: Myotis brandtii (Brandt's bat)
Lineage: Eukaryota; Metazoa; Chordata; Mammalia; Chiroptera; Vespertilionidae
Source: Rfam
GCCAUUUUGGCUCAAUGAAUAGAGCGUCAGCAAGCAGAAUGAAGGAUCCCAGGUUCAAUUCCGGGAAAGGGCA